RNAcentral lists this ribosomal RNA (303 nucleotides) under uncultured bacterium. Its description in RNAcentral is "bacterial SSU rRNA". It matches the Rfam family "Bacterial small subunit ribosomal RNA", at positions 32 to 327 of the family's 1533-position model. The record is from RNAcentral.
AAUCAACGCUGGCGGCGUGCCUCAGACAUGCAAGUCGAACGCGAAAGUCCCCUUCGGGGGAUGAUUAGAGUGGCGCACGGGUGAGUAACACGUAGGUAAUCUACCUUCGAGUGGGGAAUAACUCAGGGAAACUUGAGCUAAUACCGCAUAAUGCAGCGGCACCACAUGGUGACAGUUGUUAAAGCAUUUAUGCGCUUGAAGAGGAGCCUGCGGCAGAUAGCUAGUUGGUAAGGUAAUGGCUUACCAAGGCUACGAUCUGUAACCGGCCUGAGAGGGCGGACGGUCACACUGACACUGAAUAAC